AGAGUUUGAUCCUGGCUCAGGACGAACGCUGGCGGCGUGCCUAACACAUGCAAGUCGAACGGAGAAUUUCAAUAAGCUUGCUUAGAGAAAUUUUUAGUGGCGGACGGGUGAGUAACGCGUGGGUAACCUACCUAUAAACCCGGGACAACCCUUGGAAACGAGGGCUAAUACCGGAUAAUCUUUUGGUUUGGCAUCAAAGUAAAAGAAAAGGUGGCCUCUGAAAAUGCUACCGAUUAUGGAUGGACCCGCGUCUGAUUAGCUAGUUGGUGGGGUAAAGGCCUACCAAGGCGACGAUCAGUAGCCGGCCUGAGAGGGUGAACGGCCACACUGGGACUGAGACACGGCCCAGACUCCUACGGGAGGCAGCAGUGGGGAAUCUUCCGCAAUGGACGAAAGUCUGACGGAGCAACGCCGCGUGUAUGAUGAAGGUCUUCGGAUUGUAAAGU
This 446-nucleotide ribosomal RNA is filed under the name uncultured bacterium. RNAcentral describes it as "bacterial SSU rRNA". It matches the Rfam family "Bacterial small subunit ribosomal RNA", at positions 8 to 431 of the family's 1533-position model. The record is from RNAcentral.